UUUGUUAUUCAAAUAGCCAGAUAAAGCAAGGUGUAGUUAGUUCUGACUUCCUGUUCUUGUGCACACACCUGAGGCCUCUCCCCGCUCCAGCCACAGCUCACACACCCAGGAUCUUGAGGUGACACAGUGGAAACAACUUUCUUGGAACAUGGCUUACCUUUCUACAAAUUCAGAAAGUUGCCUGUAUCUACAAGUGAAAUACUACUUUACAAGCACUGUUAUGAAAGUAAAUAUUUGCAAAGCAUCGAGCAU
Molecule: long non-coding RNA, 252 nt
Filed under: Dasypus novemcinctus (nine-banded armadillo)
Lineage: Eukaryota; Metazoa; Chordata; Mammalia; Cingulata; Dasypodidae
Description: lncRNA (ENSDNOG00000052103.1)
Source: RNAcentral